Molecule: long non-coding RNA, 3119 nt
Filed under: Homo sapiens (human)
Lineage: Eukaryota; Metazoa; Chordata; Mammalia; Primates; Hominidae
Description: HSALNT0077940
Source: RNAcentral
ACGGGCUCUGCUCUGCACUCCAGAGAAGCAUGGUUGCCCUGCAUCUUGACUCAAGCACUGCUCCUAAGGAGGCAGAGCACCAGGUUGAUCUGUGCUCACAAAACACAUGUGGCUGAUGAGUUGAUGGCUCUGUGAAAGUACUGCUAAUUUGGGUGCAGGGUGCCAGGCUGGUAUGCACUCCAGAGAAGUAUGGAGCUGGUAGACCUGCAGCUUGGCUCAGGGGCUGCUCCCUUUUGGGAGGAGUACCAUUCUGUCCACUCUCCAGGGAAGCAUGGCCUGGCUGGGUGCCAUCGCUGCUUGAGUUCUUCUUCCUGGGGUCAUGGAACCAAGCUUGUCUGUGUUCCAGGGAAAGAUGAGGGUCACAGUUAUUUUAUAAAUGAUUACUAGGAUAUUCUAAUGCUAAAAAAAUCACUGCUCUGGUGGCUCAUUCCUCUCUAUCGCUGUCAAAUCCUCUCCUUUGUAUAAACUGCAAAAACUGUUUGAUGUUAGUACUUUUAAGAAACCAGGGAGAAAAUCUGGGUAGCAGCUAUUUGCAGCUUCUUAACAGACUGUUUUUUAAAAUGCUGUCUAGGACACCAGAGGAGUAAGACAAGUGAGACAAGCUCAAAUAAAGAGAAUUAGGAAAAAGCUUAGAGCAAGAGAGUUGGUAGAUUUUAAAGAAAGAGGAAACUUUAUCAAAAUAAGUAUGGGCUAAAAUGAUAUGAAACCAGUAGGGUGAUAAUUGCCCCAGAGACAAGAAGCACAAAAAUAUUUAUGUUUUCAUUUAAGAAGGCAUAAAAGAAACAUGAAAAAUAAAAUAAAAUCCAUAGUCACUACUAUGAUUUUCUCAACAUGCCUAUAAAACAGUGACGAAUGACAUAUUUAGGAGAUACAAAACAAGUCAAAUAGACACAGUCUUAGUUUUUUCAGCUGUAAAGAGAAACUAAAAUUUUGUACUAACAGGUAUAAAUUUUGAUAUUGGUGGUGGACAAUUUAAAUGUCAUUCCAGUUUAAUGUUAUUUUACAUAGAGAGAAACUGAGGCAAAGGAAGUUUUCAUGGUUUACUCAAUUUUCAAAUACAAUAAUGAAAUGGGAUUUGUCAAAUCCUUUAGAAAAAAAUCACUAAAAUUUUGGCACCUGUUAUUAUAUAAUCUGUAAAAUAAUUAUGUUUACACAGGUAUAUGUUCCAAUUCCAAUAAGGUUUAAAAUGUCUUCCGUUGUGUUCUCUUUCAAUAAAUUAAAUUUAAAAAUCAUUCCUUUGGUAUUUCAUCUAGAAUAUGGUCAGAGUAUUUUUUUUUUUUUGUAAAUUUGGAGCAUUUGUCCAUUUGCAGUUUUCCAAAAAAUCUUCCUUUCCACUAUUGCUUAUAAAGUAUCAAAGCUGGCUUGCAGAUCACCUCACAUACAUAGCUCCUCUAAGUUCCUUCAACCUUUGAUUUUGAAUUCAUUCAGGGUAGCAUGAUUUCUUCACCUGUGAUAUGCUCUAUAUAUUUGUUUUGUUCUUUCCAUUUUGAAGAUCACAUCACUUCCUAAAGAAGAUAGAACAAAAGACCACUUGAGCACUUCUCCUACCAUUUUCUACACUUCUAAAUGACACCAGCUUUUACAGAUGACAGAUCUCCUUUCAAUUGCAAAACUGUGGAGUUUACACAAUGAAUUAUAUGGCCUCACUUUUAUCAGAUGAAGCUUCAAGAUCAAGUCUCUCUACACCAAAAUCAGCUUUCAGUUUCCAUGGAACCAACUGAUAGAUGCCCCUACCUGAGGCCUGGUGGGUCAGAUAUCUCUAUUCACUUCACCCUUGGAUGACUAUCUUCACCUUUCUAGAGUUCUUAGUCAAGCACAAGCGAAAAGGGGAAACUUCAGUUUUUAUUUGCCAAAAAAAGAGAGAGGAAAAUAUGUCCUUGAAGCAAAGGAGCAAGACUUAGUUAGUUUGAAGCACAUUAAAGAAGACUACAGAGGAGAAGGCAAAAUGUACUUAUUUUAAAAUGUUCUCCAGCUUAGUUGUAUACACAUUUUCUUCACUGUUAUCUAGACUUAACUUUAUUUUAAAAUAUUUCAAGAUAAGACAAAAAUAUAUAAUAACAUAUGGAUACUAAUCAAAUGUUACCAAUACAUUGGAGUCCCCCUCAUCCUCCCAGAUAUAAUACAAUCCCCUCUUGCCACCACACAGGUAAGCACUAUCCUGAAUGUCAAAUUUUUUCUGACAUUUGCUUAUUUCUCUCAAAAUUCUGUAUGUGAGUUAUACCUUUGUUUAUACAUGUAGCACUAUUUUAUUCAUUUUUAUUGCUAUACACUAUAAUUAUGCUAUGAAUUGAAUUAUGUACCCUCUAAUUUCAUAGGUUGAAGUCCUAACCCCCAAUAUGAUUGUAUUUGGAGAUAGAGACUUUAGGAGUUAAAGAAGGUUGUUAGGUCAUAAAGAUGGGGCCCUAAUUCCAUAGAACUAAUAGCUUUAUAAGAAGAGGAACAAAGAGAAGCCUCUUUCUUCAAGCACAUGCACAGGGGGAAGACCAUACAAAAAUAUGAUAACCAUCUAUAAGCGAGUCAGAGAGCUCUCACCAAAAAAACAAAUCAGGCAGAACCUUAAUCUUAGACUUUCAGCCUCCAGAUCUGUGUUAAAAUAAACUUCUGUUGUUAAAGUCACAUUAAGUUUAUGGUAUUUUGCAUGGAAACCUGAGCAGACUAAUUAAAAAAAUUAAUAUCACAUCCUUUCUUCUUAAUGUAUAUCUAAGCAUGCAAUUACAUGUCUAAUAAAGCUUGGUUAAUAGAAAUGUUAUGCAUAGGUACUUGGAAAUGAGAAAAUAUACUCAAUUUUUUAUUUACUAAAUAUUUUUAUUUAUUUAUUUAUUUUGAGACAGGGUCUCAUCCUCUCACCUAGGCUGAAGUGCAGUGGUGUGAUCAUGGCUCACUGAAGCCUCAAUAUCCUGGUCUUAAGCCAUCCUCCCACCUCAGCGUCCUAAGUAGCUGGGACUACAAUCACACACCACCAAGCCCAGCUAAUUUUGUACUUUUUUUGUAGAGACUCAGUCUGGUCUUGAACUCCCAGGCUCAAGUGAUUUUCCUGCCUCGGCCUCCAAAUUGCUUGGAUUACAGGCAUGAACUACUGUGACCGGCCAACUAAAUUAUUUUUAAAAAAAUAAUUGUAC